GCGGUCACGUCCCGUUGAAACAACGAUUCCCGUACGAUCAUUGAAGAUAAGCAACGUCGAGCCUGGUUUGUAUAUAAAUGGGUGACGACUUGGGAAUACCAAGUGCUGUAA
This is a non-coding RNA of Acanthosepion pharaonis, 111 nucleotides long. The record is from the annotation of a GenBank genome assembly. NCBI's taxonomy places the organism in Eukaryota, Metazoa, Mollusca, Cephalopoda, Sepiida, Sepiidae.